GCCCCCUUAGCUCAGUCGGCAGAGCGUUUCCAUGGUAAGGAAGAGGUCGUCGGUUCGAUUCCGACAGGGGGCU
Molecule: transfer RNA, 73 nt
Filed under: Janibacter limosus
Lineage: Bacteria; Bacillati; Actinomycetota; Actinomycetes; Micrococcales; Intrasporangiaceae
Description: tRNA-Thr
Rfam family: tRNA
About the family: Transfer RNA (tRNA) molecules are approximately 80 nucleotides in length. Their secondary structure includes four short double-helical elements and three loops (D, anti-codon, and T loops). Further hydrogen bonds mediate the characteristic L-shaped molecular structure. tRNAs have two regions of fundamental functional importance: the anti-codon, which is responsible for specific mRNA codon recognition, and the 3' end, to which the tRNAs corresponding amino acid is attached (by aminoacyl-tRNA synthetases). tRNAs cope with the degeneracy of the genetic code in two manners: having more than one tRNA (with a specific anti-codon) for a particular amino acid; and 'wobble' base-pairing, i.e. permitting non-standard base-pairing at the 3rd anti-codon position.
Source: RNAcentral